This 102-nucleotide Y RNA is filed under the name Propithecus coquereli (Coquerel's sifaka). RNAcentral's name for it is "Y RNA (ENSPCOG00000011395.1)". It matches the Rfam family "Y RNA". Rfam says of the family: Y RNAs are components of the Ro ribonucleoprotein particle (Ro RNP), in association with Ro60 and La proteins. The Y RNAs and Ro60 and La proteins are well conserved, but the function of the Ro RNP is not known. Lineage: Eukaryota; Metazoa; Chordata; Mammalia; Primates; Indriidae. The record is from Rfam by way of RNAcentral.
GGCUGGUCCGAGUGCAGUGGUGUUUACAGCUAAUUGUUCACAACCAGUUACAGGUUCCUUUGUUCCUUCUUCCCUCCCACUGCUUCACUUGACUAGCCUUUU